This 120-nucleotide ribosomal RNA is filed under the name Microdochium bolleyi. Lineage: Eukaryota; Fungi; Ascomycota; Sordariomycetes; Xylariales; Microdochiaceae. The record is from RNAcentral.
ACGUACGGCCACAGGAUCAAGAGAAUAUCGGGUCCCGUCUGCUCCCCUGCAAUCAAGCUUGAUACCGCCGGACCAGUAGUUGGGUCGGUGACGACCAGCGAAUCCCCGGUGUUGUACGUU